CCUCUGAUGGGAAGUUGGCUGCCAUACCUUUACAGAAGAAGAGUGACAUCACCUACUUCAAAACCAUGCCUGAUCUCCACUCACAGCCAGUUCUCUUCAUACCUGAUGUUCACUUUGCAAACCUGCAGAGGACCGGACAGGUGUAUUACAACACGGAUGAUGAACGAGAAGGAGGCAGUGUCCUUGUUAAACGGAUGUUCAGGCCCAUGGAAGAGGAGUUUGGUCCAGUGCCUUCAAAGCAGAUGAAAGAAGAAGGGACAAAGCGAGAUAUCUGAGAAAUAUGGGCUGCCCGUGGAGAAGAUAGCAAAGCUUUACAAGAAAAGC
RNAcentral lists this small RNA (324 nucleotides) under Pongo abelii (Sumatran orangutan). RNAcentral's name for it is "processed transcript". The record is from RNAcentral. Lineage: Eukaryota; Metazoa; Chordata; Mammalia; Primates; Hominidae.